Molecule: long non-coding RNA, 311 nt
Organism: Panthera uncia (snow leopard)
Lineage: Eukaryota; Metazoa; Chordata; Mammalia; Carnivora; Felidae
Exons: 3
Source: RefSeq, a predicted model, not a curated record
CAAGACCUGGUAGAGCCUACGCUCAGAAGUCACAUGACAUUUUUGCCACAUUCCACUGGUAACGAUAAGUCACAAAGGCAGCCCGGAUUCUGGGGUGAGGAAACAGACUCUCUACCUGUUGAUACAUGGACAGCCAAGAAUCAACAGUUUGAGGAAAGCCACCAACACUAAAGACAGAGAGCAAAACCGAGAUAGUGAAAGAGAAGACACCGCAUCCAUGAAACUACAACAACAUGUGUCAAGGGUUCCCAACAUUACAGACCAAGGCCUUCAAAAUCUGAAGGGAAGAUAAUUUGCAACAGACUUCUGUA